This 675-nucleotide ribosomal RNA is filed under the name Triticum aestivum (bread wheat). RNAcentral describes it as "partial small subunit ribosomal RNA". Lineage: Eukaryota; Viridiplantae; Streptophyta; Magnoliopsida; Poales; Poaceae. The record is from RNAcentral.
AUGAGGGAUGCUCAAGAGGGGAAGAUCAAGUUCAACAGAGAGAACGACGCGCUGACAAAAGCCCUCGGGAAUCCUGAACACGGAGGACGUGUACGAGGCAUGGGGCACAUUCCGUGGAAAAUAGGGUUCUCCCAGAACGAUGACCCGUACGGUUACAGAAGCCGGAAGAGAAAGAUGGAUCGGGAAGCAGAUGUUGUGGCGCGGUUGGCAUCGGAAAUGGAUGUGAUGAAGAAAACCGUGAGUGUACUAGUAGCCGAACGAGAUGCAGCUCGGGCGCAGCAUGAAGAUCAUCCAGCGAAUCUCAAAAGCCAGCAGCGGAGAAGCAGUGUGGCUUCCACGGAGGCCCCACCGGCUGGUGCAGAUGCACCGACGAUCGAAAUUACUGCACCGGAGCCUCUGGUGGUCGAAAUUACUGCACCGGAGCCUCUGGUGGUCGAAAUUACUGCACCGGAGCCUCCUCGCUACCCCGUGGACGAUAUAAAGGAGAUGAAAGAAUGUCAUCUGUAUUAUCCUAUCGGGAACAUGUCCAUGAAGGUAGCCAUCGGCAGUGCUUUACCAUGUUUACCUAGAGCACUCCACCACAACAACCCCAUUCAAGAUGGCUAUGCUCGUGUCACGGUGGAGGACAUAGUCCAAGGGUUUGAGGACCUGGAGAUUGACAUUUGCUACACCUGA